GGAAAGAAAGGAGAAAGAAGGAAAGGAAUAAAGGAAGGAAGAAACGAAGGAAGGAAGAAAACUGAAUCCCAUAGCAAGAUAUUCAGCACAAAGCAGUUUGACUCUAGGUAUGAUCAUCAAGGAAUACUACUGAGCCAAUGAAUUGAUGAUGCCAACAAUCUUAUGGGGUUUUACAUCCAUGAACUGCAGGUGGAGUUCUCAUGGAAAAAAGGUCGGGGGGAAUGACUUUUGGCAUUGACUUAGUGGGGGAAGAUAAUUUGUACAAGUGACCUGAGCAGGAGAAGAACUGCUGAGACCACACCCAGACCACAGGAUCACAUCAGAUGUUUCCAGAGGAACAGAAUGAGACACAUCUAUGAACUGCACAAUUCUAUUGUUGUUUACUUUUCCCCUUUGUGCCUCUUAUCUGUAAGCCCACUUCUAUUGGUGUUACAACAAACCUUGCAACUUUGUAAGACAGUUUGGGUGCUUGAAUUCUUUCCAGGUGGACUCUCCUGCACCCUGACAUUUCCAAGUUCCCAGCAACUCCAACCCCAUCAGCUCUAGAGUAGGUGAGGCUCGUGACUCUGCACAGCCCUCCUCACUGCAAUCCAAUUCACUUGCAUGUCAUGGCAUCAUCUUACUGAUGUCAUGGUCCUCUUGGAGAAUGAAGGACAAACAACAAUUCCUUGUAUUCCCUUAGCACAGUGUCUAGCUGUCGGACUGUGCCUCAGGGUUCUCACUCAAUUCAUCAGGUGCCAAAUUCUGUCAUUUUAAAUUCCACAACUGAUCUCAUCUCUCUCCCCUGGUGUCCCCUCACACGCCAUCACUCCUCCCCUAGACUGCGCCAAGCCCCUGCCCCUGCCCUGCAGUUCCCCCUGGGAUGGUCUUUCUAGCUUGCGUUUGAAGGUUCCUACCCCUUCCUCUCUCUUUCCACACCCUUCCAAUCUCUUUCUGGCUCUGAGAGAACUCGCUUUCUUUUUUCAAGUCCAAGCACACCUGGUUGCAUCAAUUAAAUUACGGGAAAAAGUCAAGUCGUUCCAUAAGGAACGUAUCUGGAUAAAAGGGAGAAGGGGAAAAAGAGGGAAGCACAUAGAGAUGGAGAGA
This is a long non-coding RNA of Phascolarctos cinereus (koala), 1086 nucleotides long. RefSeq lists it as uncharacterized. The record is from RefSeq and is a predicted model, not a curated record. NCBI's taxonomy places the organism in Eukaryota, Metazoa, Chordata, Mammalia, Diprotodontia, Phascolarctidae.